Molecule: long non-coding RNA, 318 nt
Organism: Girardinichthys multiradiatus
Lineage: Eukaryota; Metazoa; Chordata; Actinopteri; Cyprinodontiformes; Goodeidae
Exons: 2
Source: RefSeq, a predicted model, not a curated record
UCUUGUCCACCUUUGUCUGUAUUUAAGUUUGCCUUCGUCCUUUGUUCCACAUGGUGUUGUUAUGUCUUUUCAAUGUCCUCAUGAGAUGUCUUUUGGAUUUUGUUCUUGAACUGGAUAAUCUUGUCACCCUGCACCUCGCCUGCAUAUUAUCCUUCUAUCCCAGCUGGUCAGAGUUGGAUUUGACCACCAUGACAACCAGAGAGAGGAAAUCUCUUCAGGACUAAAUCCAAAUUGGCACCUUGUUGAUAUUUUUUUUUAACAGAUAAAGUUCUGAAGAAAAAAAAAAUGGGAGAAUGCAAUAAAUACAUUGAGGGCAAA